GCCUACGGGGGGCUGCAGUGGGGAAUAUUGCACAAUGGGCGCAAGCCUGAUGCAGCAACGCCGCGUGCGGGAUGACGGCCUUCGGGUUGUAAACCGCUUUCAGCAGGGACGAAGCGCAAGUGACGGUACCUGCAGAAGAAGCACCGGCUAACUACGUGCCAGCAGCCGCGGUGAUACGUAGGGUGCGAGCGUUGUCCGGAUUUAUUGGGCGUAAAGAGCUUGUAGGCGGUUAGUCGCGUCGUAAGUGCAAACUCAGGGCUUAACCCUGAGCCUGCUUGCGAUACGGGCUGACUAGAGGAAGGUAGGGGAGAAUGGAAUUCCCGGUGGAGCGGUGGAAUGCGCAGAUAUCGGGAGGAACACCAGUGGCGAAGGCGGUUCUCUGGACCUUUCCUGACGCUGAGAAGCGAAAGCGUGGGGAGCAAACAGGAUUAGAUACCCUAGUAGUCU
This 447-nucleotide ribosomal RNA is filed under the name uncultured Propionibacteriaceae bacterium. RNAcentral's name for it is "bacterial SSU rRNA". It matches the Rfam family "Bacterial small subunit ribosomal RNA", at positions 337 to 796 of the family's 1533-position model. The record is from RNAcentral. Lineage: Bacteria; Bacillati; Actinomycetota; Actinomycetes; Propionibacteriales; Propionibacteriaceae.